UGGGGCGUCGUCAAGCGGUUAAGACACAGGUUUUUGGUACCUGCAUUCGGAGGUUCGAAUCCUCCCGCCCCAGCCA
RNAcentral lists this transfer RNA (76 nucleotides) under Nitrospinaceae bacterium. RNAcentral's name for it is "tRNA-Gln". It matches the Rfam family "tRNA". Rfam says of the family: Transfer RNA (tRNA) molecules are approximately 80 nucleotides in length. Lineage: Bacteria; Pseudomonadati; Nitrospinota; Nitrospinia; Nitrospinales; Nitrospinaceae. The record is from RNAcentral.